GAGAUACACCUUUUUCCAGUGAUUAUAAAUAGCUAAUCGUUCGUAUAUUGGCGUUUGGUAGAAGAGGUUUUGUGACUUAAUCUAUCAUUUGAUUGGAGCGGACAUAUUCCCAGUUUGGCACCAUCUUCUCCGCCUUCUCAGCAUAUAAGCACGUGCUCCAUACUUUCUUUUCAUCGCAAAUCCACUCUCAACAGCAUCCUCCGAGUGAAGUGGCUUCGAACGGAAAGCGAAAGCUCACAUACGAGGGAAGUCUGUCUGGUGUUGCAAGUGCUAGACAGGCCGACAAGGUGAAGGGCGACCAAACGCGCCGUUCAUGGACUAAACGCGAGGAAGAGGCUUUGUUGGUGGCGCUCCAUGAUCUAGUCGCGGGAGGGUGGAAAUCUGAUAACGAAUUCCGCAAUGGCUACGCCACUAGGGAGUAUAAGGUUAUGAAACGCAAGAUUCCAGAUACACAGCUAAAGGUGUGUCCACACAUCAACUCCAAGAUCACAAUGUGGAAGCGUGAGUACGGAGCUCUGUCUCUCGUACUUGAUCGUAGCGGGGUUGGGUUUAACUCGAACAACGACUACAAAAUUGAAUGCAACGACGAGCAAUAGGCCCAAAUUGUCAAGAUGCGUUUUAAGUUAUGCUUUAUGCCCAAACAUGUGACGUAUUUUUUGUGACACAUAGUGCUCCCAUUUUUUGAUAUCAUAGGCCGAUAGCAGUGUGAAAACUAUGCACAACAAGUCGUGGCCAUACUGGGAGGGCUGGAAGUCUAUAUUCGGGAAGGAUCGAGGCAACGUUGUACGGGCAGAGGAUUUGACCCAGGCUGAUGAGCUGCUGAACGGCAAUGACAUAUCUGUGGCAGACGAAUCACAACCAAAUAUGGCUCCGUACACAGUUGAGGACUUCUUCACAGGUGAUCAGAUCGACAAGACCCUCAACUUUGAAGCUACAACUGAUGUGCUGCUAGUUGACAGUGACACGAAAAGUGUUAGGAGCCAAGCUCUAUGAAGAAGAACAGCCGCAAGAGGAAGCCGGAGGAUGUGUUGGAGUCUAUGACGGAUGUGAUGACGAAGAUACAUGAGGAUACUAGUGAUCGCCUUCAGACUUUAUCCUCUCGAAUCGGCUACGACUUCGAUUUGAGUACGAAGCGAGUUGAGAUCAGCAAGAUGCUUGACGAUAUCCCUCUUCUACCGCAGAAGCCCGGUUCCAUGGCGCUACACAUUCUUGUCAAGGAGCCAGAACUACCCCCAUAUGCAGGUUAUAAUUCAACAACCAUAUAGAUUUGACUCCGUCGUCCUCAACCCCCCCCCCCCCCCCCUCGUGGCAAAACUACCCCCAUAUGCAGGUUAUAAUUCAAUGUGUUUAAGAUGGGAGGUUGGCCAUCCAAUCAUCCUGAUUUUACAAAAUCUCGCUCUGUACUCUUAUUUAUUACAUCAUAUCGUGUAGAGGAUUUGCAUUGGUGAAUUAGUGAGCAGCACCACACUUACUUGUGUUGUAAUGAAUAUCUUAUGUGCAUAAUUAUACUCACGUAUUGAUACGCUCGGAUUUUGCACGGUUUUAAGGCCAUCUUUUGGUCCGUUUUCAAUGUCAAAGUUGCAUUACAUGUCCAUUAUUUGCAUAUUUUUAUCUAUUUUGGUAUUUUGACAUGUUUUGUGAGAAAUGUGCAUAUUUGAGCCUAAAAAGGGAGUUAAAACGCGAAGUUGGAAAUCUGGAGCUGUUCUGCAUGUCCAGCGGUUCGCUGCAACACUGUUGACGACCGCUGGUGCCCAACGACCGCUAAGCCAAUAGCGGCUCGCUCCGGGAAAGUUGUGCCUGAAGUCAAGACACGCCGAGCGGCCGCUAGAAGAUGCGUGGUGACCGCUACCGAGAGUCCAGAGAGUUACGGGAUGAUGGCUAGCGAUCGCUAAAGCAAGUGAAGCGGCCCGCCAGCCAAGAGACAGAAGCCUCGGACCAACCCACAGCGACGGCUGGCCAAGGUGCAGCGGCCUGCUGGGAAAUAGCGGCGAGCAGAAUUUGCCCUACUUUCUCAUCAAGAUUUACCAUAUUUUGCAACCCUUUUCCUUAUAUGAUGAGGGGCGAUUUCCCCCCUAUAAAUAGCCCUCAAAGCUUCAUCAAAAAUAGAUCUUCUCUUUGCCAAAUAUUUCUAGAGCUUAAAAGUUAGAGUGUUUCAUUGGCAAGGAGUUGAAUAAGGAAUCAAUAUCCGGUACUAACCUUUAGCUAUACUAUUCCUACUAUGUAUACUUGCAGGUAUUUAUAGUGCGAAUAAAAAAUGCAUCACAUAUAUACACCUCAUAUGUAGGUUAUCACUUAUGCAUAUCAUUUAUGUUGAUGUGGACACAUAUCUGCAUCCAUUAAUACCCACCCACUUGUUUGGUAUCCUAGUGAAUACAGUAGGCCAAAUUUUUUUCUAUAAAUAAGGGGAUGGUAGGAGCAGGUUUCUUCACACCUUCUCUCCACAAAAAAGCUUCGUAAAUUUGUUAUUCAUACCCCCCUCGACAGCAUCAAUCGCUCCAACCAUGGCAGGAGGAGUAGCUCGCGACUUUCUGAAUACUAUCAACGGGGUUCCUGUGCUGCCACCCUCCUUUGUGACUACAUUCUACGGCCCCAUCAACCGUAUGCGCAUGCCGCUGCCAGCUUCAUGGGACUCGGUUUACGGCGUCAUUGUCCCGAUCUUCUGUCGGGUAGCCCUUCCGAACCAAGCACAUUGGUUCUUCAACCUUUGUUUGGAGGAAUCACCUGGUGUUUCGGUCGAGGGUGGGAAAGUUUUGUCCUGCAUGCCGAGUUCCAACCGGGUGACGAGCUCAUGUUCGCAUAUCAAAGCGAUGGGCUCUUCAUUGUCAGCAUCAUCGACAACGGACCUCCACUUCAGUUAUUCGAUGAUCCGGGUAUGGUGUACUUUGAUAUGUGUUUCCAUUCGUCCCACUUUCCAAAAAAAAGAAUAUAUUAUUCGACAGCCAAAUGGUUAUGGUCAGCACCAAAAGAUCAUCACAAAUUAGGAAAAUCAACACCGCAAUCAAACACACAGCCAUAUCAAAAACAUCAUCAUGCACAGUAGGGGCAACCUACAACCAACUUCUGUGACGAGUCUACAGGACAUGCUCACCACCAAAAAUGUACAAAUCAACAAUUACAAGGGUGAAUAUCAAAGGCAUUUUCGUAAAAGGGUAUGAAAUGAGGAUGAAAAACAUGGGGGGAGUGAAUAUUUUCUGAGCAUCACAAAGGGAUUGUAUCAAUCAUAGUUGACCAUCAAAGAAGGGUGAGGAAUUCAUACCUGGGGAAAUGAUACUCGAUCUACUGGGUAGUAUGUGUCAAAUAAAGCUCAGCAAAUCCUUAUAUAUAAUGAAAUAGAACCAACAAAUUCACUUUAGAUCUCAGCAAUAAUCGAUGACAUACAUUUCAUAAUUCAAUUUGUCCAGAGCCUUUGUCCUAGCGGCAAGAAGCUUAGACAUUAUUGUAUGAGGUGCCGAGUUCGAGCCCUCUUGACAUCAGUUUUAAUUUCCUCCUAUCUAUAGGAGUUUAUUUGUAA
This is an RNA transcript of Salvia splendens (bonfire salvia), 3511 nucleotides long. RefSeq lists it as uncharacterized. The record is from RefSeq and is a predicted model, not a curated record. Lineage: Eukaryota; Viridiplantae; Streptophyta; Magnoliopsida; Lamiales; Lamiaceae. The transcript has 5 exons.